RNAcentral lists this ribosomal RNA (360 nucleotides) under Triticum aestivum (bread wheat). RNAcentral describes it as "partial small subunit ribosomal RNA". Lineage: Eukaryota; Viridiplantae; Streptophyta; Magnoliopsida; Poales; Poaceae. The record is from RNAcentral.
AUGGUUGCACGUGACUUUGAUUUGAGGUUUGUUUAUGUGCAUCCUGGCUGGGAAGGAUCAGUCACAGAUGCAAGGGUUCUUCAAGAUGCACUUAACCAUGUAUUUCAGGUACCUCAUGGUAAAUAUUAUCUUGUAGAUGCGGGCUAUGCAAACACACCACAAUUUCUUGCCCCAUACCGUGGAACUAGAUACCAUUUGCAAGAACAAUCACAAGUACAUCAAAGGCCGUGGAAUCAUAGAGAACUAUUUAACCUUCUGCCUGCACAAUUACAGAAUCAUAUAGAGAGAAUUAUUGGCAUAGGGAAAAAGAGUUUUCCAGUUCUGAAAGUUGCUACACACUAUUCUCUACGAUUCCAGUGA